Molecule: long non-coding RNA, 1374 nt
Filed under: Oryzias javanicus (javanese ricefish)
Lineage: Eukaryota; Metazoa; Chordata; Actinopteri; Beloniformes; Adrianichthyidae
Description: lncRNA (ENSOJAG00000017836.1)
Source: RNAcentral
AAAAUGUGUGUCAUUUCCUCCGUCUCUGCCACACGAUCAGUCAAAAAUAGGAAUUUAAUGAAAAAAAAAAAAAGUAAAAAAAAAUGUCUACCUAGAAGAACAGCAGACAGGCCAGGAGGGUAGAUGGAGCUGCUGCCUUGCCGAAGGGCCCGAGGUAAGGCCAAGAGAAGGCCACGUCUAAGGAGGGCAGCCAUGUAACUGAAAGGCUACAGAAAGGAAGAGAGACACUGGAGAGAUCAGGAAACCCCUGAUCUCUCUGCUGAAGCAGCAGCUGAUGGUCCUGGUCAGUCAUGUGACCUCCAUCAUAACAUUCUCCUCUUCAUCGCUUCUUCAAGGAUCAUCCUCGUCGUCUUCUGCUACCAGAACAACUUCUGGUCAGAAGCUCAACAGUCCUGCAGCUGGUUUUCUGCUCCUCCGGAGGUGAUGAAGGUUUAAUGAGGGUUGGAGGAGGAGGAUGUUCUCCCUGCUCUGAUAGGCCAGACUUCCAGAUCAAUUAGGCCAUUUUAAACCAAUUAAGACAAAAUGGAAGAAAUUUGUUGAUUUUCUUCAUUUAUUUCUCAUAAAUUCGGAUCUAUCAUGUUUAGUUUUCAUUUUAUCUUUAUUUAGUUAGUUUUUCCAACCACUUCUAUUCUCUGAGGGUAUUUAUCUGCAGGUGACAUAAGUUCUCCAGCUGGAUGGAAACUUUCUUCAUCAUCAUCAUCAUCCACACAGACAAACGGCUUCACUGCUGUCAGCUUCUGUUCAAGAGGAUCAGGUGACUCCCCCGCGUGCGCGUGUCAUGUUUCAGCUUCUUUGAUCUGUUAAAAACACCAGCUAAACCCAACCGAGAAGUUCGGUCCGGUUCGAACGACGCACCUACCAGAGAGCAGGAGGAGCAGCAGCAGCGGGAGCGCGGAGCCGGUGGACGGCAGCUUCGGUUCUGGUCUGGUUCGGUCCGGUCCGGUCCGGUCCGGAGCGGAGCAGGAGCUCCUCGGCCCUCCUCUUCACGCGAUCGCGGCUCUUCUCCUAUUAUGGUCAGCUGCCACUCCUCCUGGAUAGCUCCUCCCUCCCUGCUCCUCUCUGUGGAGGAGUGCACAGCUGCCUGCACUUUGUAAUUAAGACUAUUGAAGUUGCAGCCUUUCAGUUCUGAGUGUCGGUGCGUCCCUGUUAGGACCGUGAGUUUCCUGUUUUAGCCGACACUGAGGUUUGCAAUUGUUUAGGUUUUUUCUUAGUUAUUAGUUUUUUUGGGUUUUUUUUUUGUCCUUUAGCAGUUUUCCCUCUUGUAAGGUGUGUUUUUUUGUUGUUUAUUAAAAUAUAUUUGCUACCUUUCUGAGUCCAAGGCUGAUUCUCUCUCUCCUCCUGGGUUCUUGUCAUUCCAGCCUCACAAAAAGUGAC